Long non-coding RNA from Pseudoliparis swirei, 671 nucleotides. RefSeq lists it as uncharacterized. The transcript is spliced from 2 exons. The record is from RefSeq and is a predicted model, not a curated record. NCBI's taxonomy places the organism in Eukaryota, Metazoa, Chordata, Actinopteri, Perciformes, Liparidae.
AGACGCAAGUCGCUCCCUCUUGCAGCGCCGAGAAGCGAGUCAGGUGAGUGGCCCCGUUUGGUACUCUAUGCCUCCUCUAUUCUCCGUCUUUCGUCAAAAAGUCCCUCAAGCCUCUGACUCGGUCCUCCUCCUGUCUUCACAGUCCAGCUCCUGCUGCUCCCGUCUCUGUCCCACUUAGAGCGGACAGAAAACACACAGAGAGAAAAGGGGGAUUGUCUUCUAUUGUUACUCCAACAAUCAAAGUUCAGGAAAUCAAUAGCAGACUUGUCCCUCACCAUUUAUCUCUCUUCUGAAAAGUUGCCUUCCUCUCUGCCUUCUUUCAAGCAGUCGGUCUGGAGGAAGAGGGGAGAGGAGGGGUUGUCGUGGAGAGUGGCCCGCUGCAGGAUGUUGGCUGAAGUGAAGAGGAAGCUACAAACAUCCACACUGCUCACCACGAGAGCGAGGAACGAUCUCUGAUACGUUUUGCUCCCUCCCUUUUCACUCUCUCCCUUUUUCUCUGUCAAUUUCUCGUUAUCUCUAUCUGAAGUUUAAGUUUUCUGUUUCGGUCGUUGUAAUUAGCAAUAGUGCGACAAACAAGAUUUAACAUGUAUUUCAAAAAGGUAGAAAUAAAAUAAUUGACACAAUAAAUUUGUAAAGUUUUCCAAUCCUCUGUAAUAAAAUGUUUUAAACUC